This 253-nucleotide ribosomal RNA is filed under the name uncultured bacterium. RNAcentral's name for it is "partial 16S ribosomal RNA". It matches the Rfam family "Bacterial small subunit ribosomal RNA", at positions 524 to 776 of the family's 1533-position model. The record is from RNAcentral.
UACGAAGGGUGCAAACGUUGCUCGGAAUUAUUGGGCGUAAAGCGCACGUAGGCGGCGCAGUAAGUCCCAUGUGAAAGCCCACGGCUUAACCGUGGAAGUGCAUGGGAAACUACUGUGCUUGAGUACUUAAGAGGAUCGCGGAAUUCCCGGUGUAGAGGUGAAAUUCGUAGAUAUCGAGAGGAACACCAGAGGUGAAGACGGGUUGCUGGGCUGACACUGACGCUGAGGCGCGAAAGCCAGGGGAGCAAACGGG